GUGCCAGCAGCCGCGGUAAGACGAACCGUGCGAACGUUGUUCGGAUUCACUGGGCAUAAAGGGCGCGUAGGCGGCUGGGCAAGUCGGUUGUGAAAUCUUUCAGCUCAACUGGAAAAUAGCUGCCGAUACUGCCUAGCUGGAGGGAGGUAGGGGUGUGUGGAACUUCCGGUGGAGCGGUGAAAUGCGUAGAUAUCGGAAGGAACGCCGGUGGCGAAAGCGACGCACUGGACCUCCACUGACGCUGAUGCGCGAAAGCCAGGGGAGCAAACGGGAUUAGAAACCCCGGUAGUCC
RNAcentral lists this ribosomal RNA (292 nucleotides) under uncultured bacterium. RNAcentral describes it as "partial 16S ribosomal RNA". It matches the Rfam family "Bacterial small subunit ribosomal RNA", at positions 505 to 796 of the family's 1533-position model. The record is from RNAcentral.